AGCGUGGGUUGUCAGCACCCGGGGCAAGGCAAGUAAUUUGCGCCCCCUAACCCGGGGCAAGGCAAGUAAUUUGCGCCCCCUAACCCCUAACCUGCCGCCGCUGCCAGCUUCUUCUUGCUGCUGCCUGGUCUGGUCUGGUGUGGUUCUCUCCCGCGCUCAGCGCUGCGCUGGGCGGCCGCUGCACUGUCCCUCCCCCAGAUCGUCCCUCGCUCUCUCUCCGCACCGCACGCCUGGCACCCACCCCCUCCACAGUGGGCGGCGACCCAGCGGCUCGGAUCGGAUUCGCACAGCCAGCACUGCAGUGAGAGAGAGUGAGUGAGCCAGGUAGGGGCAGAGAGCUGCGAGUGCGAGCGCACCCCCCC
This 362-nucleotide long non-coding RNA is filed under the name Podarcis lilfordi (Lilford's wall lizard). The record is from RNAcentral. Lineage: Eukaryota; Metazoa; Chordata; Lepidosauria; Squamata; Lacertidae.